RNAcentral lists this long non-coding RNA (1308 nucleotides) under Anser brachyrhynchus (Pink-footed goose). RNAcentral's name for it is "lncRNA (ENSABRG00000005871.1)". The record is from RNAcentral. Lineage: Eukaryota; Metazoa; Chordata; Aves; Anseriformes; Anatidae.
UGCUGUGCACGCAGGAGACCUGGCCUGUUCAGAGACAUGGUGUAGAAAAUUUUCUUGUCUCCGGAGCUCAUUCCUCCUGGCUAUCAUCUGCUGCUUCGGUGCAGAGCUCCCUGGUCCAUCAGGUACCACCUGUGCACGGGAUGAUGGUGCCUGCUCUGUUCCACAAUUGCAAGCAGGAGCCUGGCUGGGUGCACCAGCAGGACUUGGGCUGUGCUUCAAGUGAUUCCCACCAGCCAGGAUUUGGGCUCGCUGCUGCCAGAUCUCAAACCUGCUGGGGCUGCGUGGUGGCAAUGUCCAGAGGCAAGUUUCAACCAUGCCUGCGCCCUGGUCCACGCAGGGCUGGUGCCCCAGGAACGUGCUUGCAGCCUGGGCAGACAGCUUCCUCUAUAGCUCACAGCGGUUUCAUUUUCAUUGGGUUUCAGCACUUGGCCUUUUGGGCUGAAUUUCACGCCAAGUUUUCCAAUCCAAGAGGCCCGCAGGCCUUGUGGACAUGCAAAACCACCAAUGUAACAAAAAUUGGUUUAAAAUUGAUUUAGUUUGAAGAAAAAAAAAAUCCAAGCCACCAUGUGGAAACAUUUAGAAGAGUCAGUUACCAAGUUUAGCUAAAUGGAAGUAAAUGCAUUUAAAUAUGUCCAUAUAGAGCACUGGCACUGGAGAAAGUAAAUCUAUUUACCAUGAGUUUUAAUUAAACCAGUUGAGCUCUUGUUUUAAUAACCAGUGGUGAGUAAAAAUUGCCAAAACACUGACAUCCCUGCUUAGACUCCCAGCAAUGCGCACACUCUGUCACCUUUGUAAACUUUCCUGGACACUUAAUUUUUCUUUAAGGCAUUGGUGUUUAGGUACAGAGCCUUGAGACACUUAUUAAAAUGUCUAAAUACUACUGAUUUCUAAGAGGAUCUAAUGCCUUUGAGGAUCUUGGCUUGCAGACCUCAUUCCUAUUAACCUGAGGGGAGGUUUCUACCCUUCUUGGUCAGCUGAAUAAUUUUGACAGAGCUGUGGGAUCCUAAAUGACUGAAGCACAGUAGCAAUUUAUGGUAUUUUUGGGGAAUUGAAGUGACAGAGUAGCCGAAAUCCCAAACUUUUCAGUUCCCUCACAGUGAAGAGGGUUUUGUGCCAUGCUGUCACUGGCAUUGUGGACUCUUGGAAACCAUGUCCAUGUGCACCCGCUUGGGGCUGAGUUGCAUUUAGUGAUGUGAGACCUGUUCAAGUCAAAGUGGCCCAUUGGGUUGAGCGAAGGCCCUGAAUUUGGCUUGUUUCAGUGUAGUCUGGGUGAUUUCCAGCUGAAUAAACAGCACUUGCAGUCCCGCA